UUGACUUACUUUCAGCUUUACCAUUUCACACAAAACAUGAAAUGGUGCAUCAUGAAGUGGUGCAUUAAAAGACUCCUUAUUAUUUUGCUGUGUUACUCAGCAUACAGAGUAAAAGCAAAUAAAGUCCAUCAACGUGAAUCUUGGGUCAUCGGCUGUAAAGGAGAGACAUUGACCCUGGCCUGUGAAUAUGAGACUUCAGAUGCAAAUCCGUAUGUGUUCUGGUAUAAACAACAGGCAUAUAACUUUCCCAGAUACCUGUUGAGAAGGGAGAGAUAUGGAUCUGCUGAUAAUGGCACUGAGUUCAAUGAGAGAUUUCACUCUACACUAAACUUCACCUCCAGCUCAGUUCCUCUGAGCAUCCAGGAUCUGCAAGUGUCUGACUCUGCUGUGUACUACUGUGCUCUGAGGCCCACAGUGACAGGAGUCUAA
Molecule: non-coding RNA, 429 nt
Organism: Alosa sapidissima (American shad)
Lineage: Eukaryota; Metazoa; Chordata; Actinopteri; Clupeiformes; Clupeidae
Source: the annotation of a RefSeq genome assembly